RNAcentral lists this ribosomal RNA (326 nucleotides) under uncultured eukaryote. RNAcentral describes it as "partial 18S ribosomal RNA". It matches the Rfam family "Eukaryotic small subunit ribosomal RNA", at positions 1470 to 1796 of the family's 1831-position model. The record is from RNAcentral.
CCCUUAGACGUUCUGGGCCGCACGCGCGCUACACUGACCAGUGCAACAAGCAUCCGUCCUUGGCCGACAGGCCCGGGCAAUCUUUGAACGCUGGUCGUGAUGGGGAUAGACUUUUGCAAUUUUUGGUCUUCAACGAGGAAUUCCUAGUAAACGCAAGUCAUCAACUUGCAUUGAUUACGUCCCUGCCCUUUGUACACACCGCCCGUCGCUCCUACCGAUUGAGCAAUCCGGUGAAUACUUCGGGCCGGUUACUUGGUUGGUUCGCUAACCUUGUGACUGGAAAGUCGAGUGAACCUUAUUGCUUAGAGGAAGGAGAAGUCGUAACA